UAGUCCAUGCUGUAAACGAUGAUUACUAGGUGUGGGCUGGAAACAGUCCGUGCCGCAGUUAACACAAUAAGUAAUCCACCUGGGGAGUACGGCCGCAAGGCUGAAACUCAAAGGAAUUGACGGGGGCCCGCACAAGCAGUGGAGUAUGUGGUUUAAUUCGAAGCAACGCGAAGAACCUUACCAGGUCUUGACAUCGGAUGCAUACCUAAGAGAUUAGGGAAGUCCUUCGGGACAUCCAGAC
Molecule: ribosomal RNA, 241 nt
Filed under: uncultured bacterium
Lineage: Bacteria
Description: partial 16S ribosomal RNA
Rfam family: Bacterial small subunit ribosomal RNA
Source: RNAcentral